RNAcentral lists this ribosomal RNA (1657 nucleotides) under metagenome. Its description in RNAcentral is "bacterial LSU rRNA". It matches the Rfam family "Bacterial large subunit ribosomal RNA", at positions 1108 to 2911 of the family's 2925-position model. The record is from RNAcentral.
UGAAGCAGCCAUUCUUUAAAAAAUUCGUAAUAGAAUACUAAUUGAAAACAUCAUGUUUAAACUCUUUUGCAUCGAAGAUCCAGAAGGACUAAAGAUAUCUACCGAAACUAUAAACUUUAAUAGUGGUAGCAAAGCGUUUUUAAAAUCAUAGAAAAUAAUUUGUAAAAAUUGUUGGAGAUAAAAAAGUGAAGAUACUAAAAUGAGUAGCGAAAAACAAUGUAAAAACCAUUGUAGCCGAAAAAUUUGAGGUUUUCUACAUAAAGUUAAACUGUGUAGAGUCAGUCGGUCUCUAAGAUAUUAAUGCGAAAGCACAAUUCGAUGAGGUUUUUUAAUAAAAACAAUAUAUAAAAUGACAGGUUUUAUUGAAUCAUAAAACAAAAAAUUGAUUAUUUUAUGAUGCGUAAGACUUCAAGAAAAAUUUUAUAUUUAAAAAUUACCGUACUUAGCCGACAAAGGAAAAUAGAUUUAAAGGAUCAAGGCUUUUGGGUUAAUCAUUCUUAAGGAACUCGGCAAAAUAAUUCUGUAACUUCGGGAGAAAGAGUGCCUUUUUAACUAAAGGUGGCACAAAAAAAAGGAUAGCGACUGUUUACUAAGAACACAAGACUUUGCAAAAUUGCAAAAUGAAGUAUAAGGUUUGAUGCUUGCCCAAUGCUGUAAUGUUAAAUGGAAGCGUAAAUGCGCUAAAAUGAAGCUUCAGUGAAUGGCAGUCGUAACUCUAACGAUUCAAAGGUAGCGAAAUUCCUAGCCACUUAAUUGGUGGCCCGCACGAAUAGCAUAACGACUUUCCUACUGUCUCAAGAAUGAGCCCAGCGAAAUUAGAGUCUGCGUGAAGAUACGCAGUAGUAAAAGUAAGACGGAAAGACCCUAUAAACCUUUACUAUAGUCUUGUAUUGUUAUGAUUUAUUUUUUGUGUAGCCUAGGUGGGAGCUGUUAUUAAGUCUUAACGCUAGUUAAUUACUGAAGCAUUCAUGAAAUACCACUCUAAAGAUAAAAUCUAACUAAUUAUUUUUAUAAGAAAAUGCAAGAUGUUUAGUUUAACUGGGGCGGUAGUCUUCUAAAAAGUAACGAAGAUCUGCAAAGGUAAGUUUAAAUUCAGUAGAAACGAAUUAAAAGGUAUAAGCGCGUAAACUUGCUUGAUUGGAAGAGAUACAACUCGACCAAGGACGAAAGUCGGCGCUAGUGAUCCGGAAAUUUUCAAUGGAAAAGUUUCCGCUCAAGGAAUAAAAGGUACUUUAGGGAUAACAGGCUAAUCACUCUCAAGAGCUCCUAUCGACAGAGUGUUUUGGCACCUCGAUGUCGACUCUUCACAUCCUGAAGCUGAAGAAGGUUUCAAGGGUACGGCUGUUCGCCGUUUAAAGUGGAACGUGAGUUGGGUUUAGAACGUUGUAAAACAGUUUGGUCCCUAUCUGCUUUUACUGUAUGAAAACUGAAGAGAUUUGCUUUUAGUACGAGAGGACCAAAGCAAUAUAACCUAUGGUUUGUCAGUUGUUUUCCAAAAGCAAGCUGAUUUGCUACGUUAUUUUAAUAUAACUACUGAAAGCAUCAAUGUAGGAAGAUAACUUUAAAACAAGUUUUCAAAAAUUAGUGUUAGACUAACACUUAACAUAGGCAAUUCGUUAUAAGUGGUAACACUUUCGCUAAAUUGUACUAAUUCAUU